AAGAAAUUACGGCAGGGUUAUGAUUAUUUUCUCUUGCUGCGCUGAGAUUAGAAAAGUGGAAGUCAGCACCUGGUUGUGGACAGCCAUCAAUAAAGAAGAGGGCUGGACUGGCUGAACUCAUUCAUCCUUCCUGGUGACUCCCUUGUUGCUGCCAUUACAGCACUGUGUAGUGGGAUCAGUGUGGGACUUUCUUGCUCUGAUCCUUCUCUCUUUACUGAGUUUGAAUACUCAUUGAACUCCACAGGACUACUGACCAUAAGAGGAUACAGUAAAAAUGAUAUCUUGAUUUCUGGUCCUGCAGAAAAAUCCACCGUAAGACAUCUGUGGUAGCUGGAAGAUUAAUCCAUUCAAAUGACAAAGCAUGAAUGCUCCCCAAUAUGGUACUAACAGUAGUGAUUUAUUGGUUUUGGCAAACUAUGCAAAAGACUGCCUUUUCUUGGAUGUUAAGUGGAAAUACACAUUGAUUGUGUGCAAGUCAAGAUCUGCAAGGUUGCAAAUUCUACUUUCUUGCUACUGUCAGUUUCAUGAAGAUAGUUAGAAAAUUCACUAAAACAACCUUUAUGAAUAGUUUCGGAUGCCCGUUCCAGAUGCUGUGAAGCAGGUGAGAGGGAUCUCCAGGAGAUCAGAGCCUGUGUCCAGGAGGAAUCAACUCCCGACAAGAUGCAUCGAUCCUGGGGUUUUAGAUGUGGCUGCUCACAAUGAUAAUUAGAUGCUAAAGUGAUGAUUCCUGGAGAGCCAAGAGGCUAUAAAGCAUUCUCAAGGGAUCAAGGCCCUGCAGAGGGAAAGAUGAUAACCUGCAAUCUGAAGGCAGCUGAAACAGAGAGGAUGCUUUAUCCAGUUGUUUGCUCUGUUGAAAGCAGAGGUGACACCUGCAGAAGAAAAUUAGCUGGAUGCGCUUUCAUCACAGAGAAAUACCAUCAUCUUUUUUUAGUUCCUCUGACAUUUUAUGCAGCAUGUUGCUGUAGAACAUAGCAGGCCUUUACUGGGAGGAAGAAAUUUGCAUUCUCCUGAGGAUGGAGACAAGUCUACUCUCUUCUGUGAUGGAGAACUAACUGCCACCAGCAGGUGGGAGAGCAAAUUAAAGCUAACGUAAUGAAUAAAGUUUGGGACCUAUUUUGCUCUAGUUUCUUUUUACUUUGCUUGUUUGUUUGUGUGUGUGUUUCUUGUUGUUGUUUGUUUAUUUUGAUGUAAUGGCAAAAAUAGGCCAGACUGGGAAUGGUUGGUACUGGUCAUUGAUAGAGAAAAAGUUUUGGUUGCUGGACGUAGUUUUUCUUCAUUCUCUUACCCCUUGACAACUGUAUUACUAAAUACUUCUUACAAUACCAUGAAUUCAAUUGGCAGACUUUGGCAAAUCUUCUUGGCUUGGCUUUUUACCAGAAGAAAGACUACUGUCGUCUGGCAAUUGUGUGGUUUUUCUUGUGUUUGUUUUCCCCUCUGUGUCUGUCAUUUUCAAUCAAAUGUUAAUCGUAAAUAUACAUCAUAUUGUACAACUUUGUUCUUCUUGGAGUAUCAAGACAGAAAUACAUUAGAAACCUCAGUCUUUCAAAAAGAUCAGCAAUGGUGAACUUAUUUGCAGGGUUCUGGCAUCACAGACCUGAAAUUGUAUGUUGUCACACAGGAUAAAAUAAUAGUUUUGUUUUCUUGUUUCUUCUAUAACUUUAGAGGAGAAUUUAGAGAACAAUUCCUUCCCUCACUGCCCCCAUAUUUCUGUAAAUCUGAAAAAGUGCAUUUUAUAAAAACAAAGUUAAAACUGACUUCAGGUAGUCCAUGUUUUGCUGCAUAUUUUAUGGAAUAUAGAAUUUGAGAAUGAUCAUUGAUCUCUUCUCUUUAGAGAAGAGGAAUUUUAACAUGGAAGAGAAACUAAAC
Long non-coding RNA from Cygnus olor (mute swan), 1866 nucleotides. RefSeq lists it as uncharacterized. NCBI's taxonomy places the organism in Eukaryota, Metazoa, Chordata, Aves, Anseriformes, Anatidae. The record is from RefSeq and is a predicted model, not a curated record. The transcript is spliced from 8 exons.